UGCGGUAGACGCGAAACCAAGUGAUCUACCCUUGGCCAGGAUGAAGUCUGGGUAACACCAGAUGGAGGUCCGCACCAAUAAGCGUUGAAAAGCUUCUGGAUGAGCUGAGGGUAGGGGUGAAAGGCUAAUCAAACUUGGAGAUAGCUCGUACUCCCCGAAAUGCAUUUAGGUGCAGCCUCGAGGAUUACUGAUGUGAGGUAGAGCGACUGAUUGGAUGCGAGGGCUUCACCGCCUAUCAAGUCCUGACAAACUCCGAAUGCGCAUCAGUU
RNAcentral lists this ribosomal RNA (269 nucleotides) under Bacteroides caecigallinarum. Its description in RNAcentral is "partial 23S ribosomal RNA". It matches the Rfam family "Bacterial large subunit ribosomal RNA", at positions 705 to 972 of the family's 2925-position model. The record is from RNAcentral. Lineage: Bacteria; Pseudomonadati; Bacteroidota; Bacteroidia; Bacteroidales; Bacteroidaceae.